Molecule: ribosomal RNA, 466 nt
Filed under: uncultured Glomus
Lineage: Eukaryota; Fungi; Glomeromycota; Glomeromycetes; Glomerales; Glomeraceae
Description: SSU rRNA
Rfam family: Eukaryotic small subunit ribosomal RNA
Source: RNAcentral
AAAGCUCGUAGUUGAAUUUCGGGAUCAGUACGCUGGUCAUGCCUUUGGUAUGCACUGGUGUCACUGGUUUCUCCCUUCUGAAGAACCGUGAUGUCAUUAAUUUGGUGUCGCGGGGAAUCAGGACUGUUACUUUGAAAAAAUUAGAGUGUUUAAAGCAGGCUCGCGCUUGAAUACAUUAGCAUGGAAUAAUGAAAUAGGACGUUUGACCCUAUUUUGUUGGUUUCUAGGAUCGACGUAAUGAUUAAUAGGGAUAGUUGGGGGCAUUAGUAUUCAAUUGUCAGAGGUGAAAUUCUUGGAUUUAUUGAAGACUAACUACUGCGAAAGCAUUUGCCAAGGAUGUUUUCAUUAAUCAAGAACGAAAGUUAGGGGAUCGAAGACGAUCAGAUACCGUCGUAGUCUUAACCAUAAACUAUGCCGACUAGGGAUCGGAUGAUGUUAAUUUUAUAAUGACUCAUUCGGCACCUUA